Long non-coding RNA from Leptopilina heterotoma, 506 nucleotides. RefSeq lists it as uncharacterized. The transcript is spliced from 2 exons. The record is from RefSeq and is a predicted model, not a curated record. Lineage: Eukaryota; Metazoa; Arthropoda; Insecta; Hymenoptera; Figitidae.
CCGGAUAUAUUCUGAUGGCUCAAUAGCAAUAUUCAGAAUCCGAGAGACGGUCGUUCUCACUGAUGGUGAUUUCAGAGUGAUUGACGUCGUCUGAAUAUCGAGAGGCAGCCUACAAUGCAAAGGCAAAGACUUUCACCUGUGCUCCUGUUGCUGCUGCUGCUUCGCAGCCACUCGAGCUUCUGCUUAACACGCCGCUCUGGUGUGGAAGCUAUCGCUACCUGGUCAUCUAAGGUCACGGAUCCACGAGUCCCGAGUCAUUGAUCCUGAUCGACAUUCGAAAAGUUUUAUAUUCGACAAAUAAGUUUAACGCCGUUGCUGAGAUUUAAGAUUCAAUUGUGCGAUGCGAACAAAGCAAAAGAUGAUCCAGUCCAGAAAUAUCCUGCUCAUCGCAAGAUGCUUCGGUUCGGAGAUGAUCCCGCAAAUUCUUUAUAGAAAAGUUUUUAAAAAAAAGUAUUUUUUUAAAUAAAAUAUGUUAUAUGUCAAAAUAAAAUUCAAACUACCCUUUA